This 2162-nucleotide ribosomal RNA is filed under the name Escherichia coli. Its description in RNAcentral is "bacterial LSU rRNA". It matches the Rfam family "Bacterial large subunit ribosomal RNA", at positions 500 to 2514 of the family's 2925-position model. Lineage: Bacteria; Pseudomonadati; Pseudomonadota; Gammaproteobacteria; Enterobacterales; Enterobacteriaceae. The record is from RNAcentral.
ACCGUGAGGGAAAGGCGAAAAGAACCCCGGCGAGGGGAGUGAAAAAGAACCUGAAACCGUGUACGUACAAGCAGUGGGAGCCUCUUUUAUGGGGUGACUGCGUACCUUUUGUAUAAUGGGUCAGCGACUUAUAUUCUGUAGCAAGGUUAACCGAAUAGGGGAGCCGAAGGGAAACCGAGUCUUAACUGGGCGUUAAGUUGCAGGGUAUAGACCCGAAACCCGGUGAUCUAGCCAUGGGCAGGUUGAAGGUUGGGUAACACUAACUGGAGGACCGAACCGACUAAUGUUGAAAAAUUAGCGGAUGACUUGUGGCUGGGGGUGAAAGGCCAAUCAAACCGGGAGAUAGCUGGUUCUCCCCGAAAGCUAUUUAGGUAGCGCCUCGUGAAUUCAUCUCCGGGGGUAGAGCACUGUUUCGGCAAGGGGGUCAUCCCGACUUACCAACCCGAUGCAAACUGCGAAUACCGGAGAAUGUUAUCACGGGAGACACACGGCGGGUGCUAACGUCCGUCGUGAAGAGGGAAACAACCCAGACCGCCAGCUAAGGUCCCAAAGUCAUGGUUAAGUGGGAAACGAUGUGGGAAGGCCCAGACAGCCAGGAUGUUGGCUUAGAAGCAGCCAUCAUUUAAAGAAAGCGUAAUAGCUCACUGGUCGAGUCGGCCUGCGCGGAAGAUGUAACGGGGCUAAACCAUGCACCGAAGCUGCGGCAGCGACACUAUGUGUUGUUGGGUAGGGGAGCGUUCUGUAAGCCUGUGAAGGUGUGCUGUGAGGCAUGCUGGAGGUAUCAGAAGUGCGAAUGCUGACAUAAGUAACGAUAAAGCGGGUGAAAAGCCCGCUCGCCGGAAGACCAAGGGUUCCUGUCCAACGUUAAUCGGGGCAGGGUGAGUCGACCCCUAAGGCGAGGCCGAAAGGCGUAGUCGAUGGGAAACAGGUUAAUAUUCCUGUACUUGGUGUUACUGCGAAGGGGGGACGGAGAAGGCUAUGUUGGCCGGGCGACGGUUGUCCCGGUUUAAGCGUGUAGGCUGGUUUUCCAGGCAAAUCCGGAAAAUCAAGGCUGAGGCGUGAUGACGAGGCACUACGGUGCUGAAGCAACAAAUGCCCUGCUUCCAGGAAAAGCCUCUAAGCAUCAGGUAACAUCAAAUCGUACCCCAAACCGACACAGGUGGUCAGGUAGAGAAUACCAAGGCGCUUGAGAGAACUCGGGUGAAGGAACUAGGCAAAAUGGUGCCGUAACUUCGGGAGAAGGCACGCUGAUAUGUAGGUGAAGUCCCUCGCGGAUGGAGCUGAAAUCAGUCGAAGAUACCAGCUGGCUGCAACUGUUUAUUAAAAACACAGCACUGUGCAAACACGAAANCGACUUGCUCGUGGAGCUGAAAUCAGUCGAAGAUACCAGCUGGCUGCAACUGUUUAUUAAAAACACAGCACUGUGCAAACACGAAAGUGGACGUAUACGGUGUGACGCCUGCCCGGUGCCGGAAGGUUAAUUGAUGGGGUCAGCGCAAGCGAAGCUCUUGAUCGAAGCCCCGGUAAACGGCGGCCGUAACUAUAACGGUCCUAAGGUAGCGAAAUUCCUUGUCGGGUAAGUUCCGACCUGCACGAAUGGCGUAAUGAUGGCCAGGCUGUCUCCACCCGAGACUCAGUGAAAUUGAACUCGCUGUGAAGAUGCAGUGUACCCGCGGCAAGACGGAAAGACCCCGUGAACCUUUACUAUAGCUUGACACUGAACAUUGAGCCUUGAUGUGUAGGAUAGGUGGGAGGCUUUGAAGUGUGGACGCCAGUCUGCAUGGAGCCGACCUUGAAAUACCACCCUUUAAUGUUUGAUGUUCUAACGUUGACCCGUAAUCCGGGUUGCGGACAGUGUCUGGUGGGUAGUUUGACUGGGGCGGUCUCCUCCUAAAGAGUAACGGAGGAGCACGAAGGUUGGCUAAUCCUGGUCGGACAUCAGGAGGUUAGUGCAAUGGCAUAAGCCAGCUUGACUGCGAGCGUGACGGCGNGGUUAGUGCAAUGGCAUAAGCCAGCUUGACUGCGAGCGUGACGGCGCGAGCAGGUGCGAAAGCAGGUCAUAGUGAUCCGGUGGUUCUGAAUGGAAGGGCCAUCGCUCAACGGAUAAAAGGUACUCCGGGGAUAACAGGCUGAUACCGCCCAAGAGUUCAUAUCGACGGCGG